RNAcentral lists this ribosomal RNA (257 nucleotides) under uncultured bacterium. Its description in RNAcentral is "partial 16S ribosomal RNA". The record is from RNAcentral.
CUGCUGCCUCCCGUAGGAGUCUGGUCCGUGUCUCAGUACCAGUGUGGGGGACCUUCCUCUCAGAACCCCUACGCAUCGUCGUCUUGGUGGUCCGUUACACCGCCAACUAACUAAUGCGACGCAUGCCCAUCCGCCACCGGAAUUAACCUUUGGCACCAACAGGAUGUCCCGUCGACGCAUUAUGCCGUAUUAGACGGAAUUUCUCCCGAUUAUCCGGCUGUGGCAGGCAGGUUGCAUACGUGUUACUCACCCGUGCG